Molecule: ribosomal RNA, 497 nt
Filed under: uncultured bacterium
Lineage: Bacteria
Description: partial 16S ribosomal RNA
Rfam family: Bacterial small subunit ribosomal RNA
Source: RNAcentral
GAUGAACGCUGGCGGCGUGCCUAAUACAUGCAAGUCGAGCGAACAGACGAGGAGCUUGCUCCUCUGAUGUUAGCGGCGGACGGGUGAGUAACACGUGGAUAACCUACCUAUAAGACUGGGAUAACUUCGGGAAACCGGAGCUAAUACCGGAUAAUAUUUUGAACCGCAUGGUUCAAUAGUGAAAGACGGUUUUGCUGUCACUUAUAGAUGGAUCCGCGCUGCAUUAGCUAGUUGGUAAGGUAACGGCUUACCAAGGCAACGAUGCAUAGCCGACCUGAGAGGGUGAUCGGCCACACUGGAACUGAGACACGGUCCAGACUCCUACGGGAGGCAGCAGUAGGGAAUCUUCCGCAAUGGGCGAAAGCCUGACGGAGCAACGCCGCGUGAGUGAUGAAGGUCUUCGGAUCGUAAAACUCUGUUAUUAGGGAAGAACAAAUGUGUAAGUAACUAUGCACGUCUUGACGGUACCUAAUCAGAAAGCCACGGCUAACUACGUG